AGAGAAACGGAUCUUCGCUAUGAGGGUGUUCUCAACCUAGUGCCAGCCUAAAACAAGCAAACUCAUUGUGAAGUAAAAGGGACUAGAUUUCCAGAUGGAGUCUUACUCUGUGGCGCCUAGGGUGGAAUGCAGUGGUGUGAUCUCGGCUCGUUGCAACCUCCGCCUCCCGGGUUCAAGUGAUUCUCCCACCUCAGUCUCCCAAGUAGCUGGGAUUACAGUAUCCUGGAAAUAAUUGGAACAUUCACAAAGAAUGAAUAACCUUGAUAGAGGUAAGAAAUCGCCAGGCCGAAGAGGAAUGUGGUGUGAAAGUUUUCAGAAUCAAAAUGGAGUCAGUAAUGUUAAGAAAACUCUAACAAAUACUGCUGGGGAAAGCCAUGAAGUGAGGGUUUUCAUGCUUGUAUGCCUGUAACAGAAACUGUCAAAAAAAUUACAAAAACUGCAACCUUGCACAAAGGCCAUGUUGCAAAAACUACUUCUACGAAGACAUCUGCCCAGCAGCUGCCUCUCCAGUCUGACUGUUCUCACCCUUGUUAUUGAUUUUUGUAGCCAAAGAUAAUUAUUUCAGAACAAUUAUAUAAUCUUCCUCAUUUUUUCUUGAAAAAUCUUGUCUUCCUUUCCCUCCCUGAAUACAUGCAUAGUUUACCAUGCCAUGCAUAUUCCUAUUGCAAUUCUCUAUUCCCAAAUAAUUACCUCUUAGAGAGCCUCUUUCUUGCUUAGAUUGACAGUGAGAACUUAAAGAAGUUGAAUGAAUAGGUUGGGAAGAUGAUAACCAUGUUCAGAAACAUGAGAUAAAACCCCAAGUUACUGUAUGUAGGUGUAUAGUUUUUUGUCUACUUGAUAUGAUGCUCAUGUUAUACAGUUAAGGCAUGUGCAUAUUAUCUGCAAAUGACCAGCUCAGUCUCUGGGCAUGUGAGGAACUGAGAGUACCAGUUAAUCAAACAUUUACUUUGUUUACUGGGUCCUGCUGCUCACUUGGCUUACUUGUCCUCUGGAAGAAACCUCUUGCUCUCAAAGGAACCUGAAUCUGAGCUGCUGCCCCUGAGUGGGAAUCAUGCUUCAAAUUUUAACUCAGCGUAAAGUCCUAGAGAACAACAGGGCUGACAUCUUUCUGCCCUUGGUAUUGAUUUUGGGAUCUACAGAUAGCUCUGAGAGCCUCGGUUCCUUCAUCUGUACAAGGGGAGUGAUAAGGUAGAUAGUUACUGUGUAGGGAGCUUUCUCUGGGCUUUACAUAAAAGUCAUACAGUUCCCAAAGCAAUGAUAUGAAGGAGGGUUUAUCAGUAACUUCAUUUUACAGAUGAGAAAACUGAGGUUCAACUGGUUAAAUAAUGUGCCAGGUAACAGUCAGUAGGCAGAGGGGACAGGGUUUGAAUUCAGGCACUCAGGCUCCAGAGCUUCAGUCUUCAACACCACGCAUAAUAUUGAACAAUACGGGAGGUUAAUGAUGCUUAGCUUUAAGGGUUGCUGUGAAGAUUCAAGAUGAAGGCACAUGAGGCAUAUGGCUUCUGAUCUCGCUAUUCUACAAAAAUGGUCACUCUUGCUGUUUGCCAAUGACUUCUGAAUUGCCAAACUUAAUAAACACUCAGAAGGGAAAACUA
This 1595-nucleotide long non-coding RNA is filed under the name Macaca mulatta (Rhesus monkey). Its description in RNAcentral is "lncRNA (ENSMMUG00000062527.1)". The record is from RNAcentral. Lineage: Eukaryota; Metazoa; Chordata; Mammalia; Primates; Cercopithecidae.